GCCAUUUCCACCUGGUGAAGAUUUUCAUAGA
RNAcentral lists this non-coding RNA (31 nucleotides) under Homo sapiens (human). The record is from RNAcentral. Lineage: Eukaryota; Metazoa; Chordata; Mammalia; Primates; Hominidae.